This is a long non-coding RNA of Tyto alba (common barn owl), 650 nucleotides long. RefSeq lists it as uncharacterized. The record is from RefSeq and is a predicted model, not a curated record. The transcript is spliced from 3 exons. NCBI's taxonomy places the organism in Eukaryota, Metazoa, Chordata, Aves, Strigiformes, Tytonidae.
GAUUUCACAUCUCAGCACUCCUCUCAGUACGGAGUAAGGAAGUGACCAGAAUACACAUCAGAGCUGAGAGCUGUGACCUGGGAAGUUCUCUUAGCUUCUCCUGUAAGGAUGUAUUAUAGACAUAUCUCAGAGGCUGAAGAUUUUGUGGUAUAUAAAAAUCAUCUAAAAGAAACAACCUUUGUGCUGAAGAGAUUAUCACAUAUGUGGAACAAUGCCUGGUGAAACUUCUACAGGAUUUUGGGAGAUAUUUUGGAGAAAUUUAUCUACUGAAUAUCUCAUGAGAUAAACAUGAAAUAGCACAAAAGUGGAUGUGAAAGAAUAAGGAGAGAGUUGAAAGGAAUGGGUUCCUUGGUGACACAUGGACAGGGGAAGCCACCUUGCUCACAGAGCUGGGGUCUCAUUUCAAGCACACCUUGGUCACACCAGGAUUUGUGGGAGAAAGGUCUGAAGAAUGUAUGGAAGGCAUGGGCAAGUUAAGGGUCUCGACACAGGAAUGGCAGGAGAGCAGAGGUGUUUACUUCAAAGCGUGGCGGUUUGUUACUUCCUUCAAGGAUGGACACCAUAGGAAAAGGAGAUAAUCGGUUGCCAAGGUCAUUCAAUGGGUAAAUGAUUGGGAUGAGAAUAAAAUACAGGUUUUGACUUCCACAGUU